GCCGCGGUGGUCUAGCGGUUAGGACGCUGGCCUUGUAAUCCUGGGGUCUCGGGUUCGAUUCCCGGCGGUGCCC
This 73-nucleotide transfer RNA is filed under the name Zootermopsis nevadensis. It matches the Rfam family "tRNA". Rfam says of the family: Transfer RNA (tRNA) molecules are approximately 80 nucleotides in length. Their secondary structure includes four short double-helical elements and three loops (D, anti-codon, and T loops). Further hydrogen bonds mediate the characteristic L-shaped molecular structure. tRNAs have two regions of fundamental functional importance: the anti-codon, which is responsible for specific mRNA codon recognition, and the 3' end, to which the tRNAs corresponding amino acid is attached (by aminoacyl-tRNA synthetases). tRNAs cope with the degeneracy of the genetic code in two manners: having more than one tRNA (with a specific anti-codon) for a particular amino acid; and 'wobble' base-pairing, i.e. permitting non-standard base-pairing at the 3rd anti-codon position. Lineage: Eukaryota; Metazoa; Arthropoda; Insecta; Blattodea; Termopsidae. The record is from Rfam by way of RNAcentral.